AUGGCGGUCGCCCCUCCUUCGUCGCCGCCUCCCGCCGCCGCCGCCGCCGCCGGCAGCCCGAAUCCUACCUCCACCGAGGGCCAAGGAAAGAUGGUGGUCGCCUCUCCUUCCACGGCGCCGCCGCCCACCGACGCCGACGGCAGCCAGCAGCCGACCUACCCCGAGAUGAUUAAGCAGGCGCUGACGGAGCUGGGAGGCACCUCCGGCCGCAUCGCCAUCGCCGCCUUCAUCCUCGGCCGCUUCAAGGAGGGCCUCCCCGCCGCCCACGACAAGCUCCUCAGGGUCCACCUCCGCCGCCUCGUCUCCCAAGGCGUCGUCCGCGGCUACGGAUCAGAAGCCAGAGCUUGCUACGUCUUCCCGGCCUCCAACACCAAAAGCCGUGGCCGGCCCCGCAAGUCGUCGACCCGCCUCCUCCUCACCGCGUCGCCGACCCUGCCCCUCCCCCUCCCUGCGCCGCCCACCAACGAGUACGAGGAAAAUUUGGAUCUCAGUUUGGAUACAUCUUCUGGAGGAUUACGGAGCAGUCGUGGCCGGCCCCUCUUGCCGGCACUCCCUGCGCCCAAGAAUUUGUUGGAUCUCAGUUUGGUUCCUCAAUCUGGAGGGUCACAGAUUAGCAGUGAUGAUGAUGAUGAUGAUGAUUACUCCACUUCCAGUGAUGAUGAUGAUGAUGAUGAUGAAGAUGACUACAGCAGUGGUGAUGACAAGGAUGAUGAAUACACUCCUGCGCAUGCAUAUGCUUUGAUCGUCCAUGGAGCAAAGCGUGGACGCCCACGCAAGCGCAAGAGGGGGCCAGGCCGUACUCGUAAGCUUCUGCUGUGCGCAAAUUCCUCAGUCACCAAGAAAGGCCGUGGGAGGCCAAGGAAGAAGCAGAAACUUGGCUCGUCACAAGCUGCUUUUCAGAAUGGAACCCCAGGAGGUGGUUUCUCGACGCCCAAGAGAGGGCGUGGGAGGCCGCGAAAGGAUGCACAAGGGCUGUCAACCAGUGUCAAGAGAGGCCGUGGGAGACCGAGAAAGGAUGCACAAGGGCUGUCAACCGGUGUCAAGAAAGGCCGUGGCAGACCGAGAAAGGAGUCACAAGGAAUGUCAACGGGUGUCAAGAGUGGCCGUGGGAGGCCGAGAAAGGAGCCAGAAGAUGGUGUCCCAGAAGCAGACUCUUCUGAAACUGAAUCAGAUGCAGAGUCAGACUCUUCUCUAACUGGGUCAGACACUGAGUCAGGCUCUCCAAAUGUGUCGAGGUGGUUGAAGGAAGGGUUUGGGAAUCCAACAACAAUAGCGACGCCGCCAGCAGCAGUUAGGCCUGCGUCCAGGGGGCUCAAUAUAGGGUCUCUGAGGCCAACAAUAGAGAGGCCACCACCAGCAGCAAGGUCUCCUGGAACUCUUGUUUACUCUGCUGCGUCCGCGGGAAUGAAGAAACCGCUUGGGAGGCCAAGAAAGAAGGGAUCAUCAAAAGCGCCUGCUGAGGCUGCGUCCACGGGGAUCAAGAAACCGCGUGGGAGACCGAGAAAGGAGAGACCACCACAAGCAAUGUCUGCUCAAGCUGGAGAUGCAGCAGCGCCUGCUCCUGAAACUGGAAAUGCAACUCCUGCUCCUGAAACUGGACAUGUGAACCCUGCUUCUGAAACUAGAGAUGCAGCAGCAUCUGCUCCUGAAGCUGAAGCUGGAGAUGCUUCUGAAACUAGAGAUGCAGCAGCAUCUGCUCCUGAAGCUGGAGAUGCAGCAGCGACUGCUCCUGGUGAAAAUGGAGAUGCAGCAGCGCCUGCUCCUGAUGAAAAUGGAGCAGGAACGCCUGCCAAAACUGGAGAUGGUGCGUCGACGGGGAUCAAGAGACCGCGUGGGAGGCCGAGAAAGGAGAGAUCGCCAGCACCAAUGUCUAGAGAAACUGGAGAUGCAGCGCCUGAUGAAAAUGGAGCAGCAACGCCUGCUGAAGCUGGAGAUGCUGCUUCAACUGGAUUCAAGAAACCGCGUGGGAGGCCGAGAAAGGAGAAACCACCUGCAUCAAUCUCUGCUGAAACUGGAGAUGCAACCCCUGCUGGGACUGGUGAUGCUGAAACUGGAGAUGCAACCCCUGCUGGGACUGGUGAUGCUGAAACUGGAGAUGUAACCCCUACUGAAACUGGAGCAGCAACGCCUGCUGAAGGUGGAAAUGCUGCAUCGACAGGGAUCAAGAGACCGCUUGGAAGGCCUAGAAAGGUGAAGAAGUUUGGGAGGCCAAGAAAGGAGAAGCCAGAAGAGGCAACAAUGUCUGAUGAAACUGGAGAUGAUGCUGGAGAUGCAAGGUCUGCUGAAACUGGAGCAGCAACGCCCGGUGGAGACUCUGCGUCGGCGGGGGUCAAGAGAGGGCGUGGACGGCCAAGAAAGGAGAGGCCAGAGGCAGCGAUUUCUGCUGAAAGUGGAGAUGCCGAAACAGAAACAGAAAGGAAGAAGGCAAAAGUAGCAAGGCCGACUGGAGAUGGUGGGAUCAAGAGAGGGCUCGGGAGGCCGAGGAAGGUGAAGCGUGGGAGGCCCCAAAAGGAGAAGCCAGCAUCAGACGAUGCCAUGUCAACGGGAAUCAAGGGACCGCUCGAGUCUCCAAGAUCAUACUAUGCAUUAUCUGCCGGAACUGGAAAAGCCGUGUCAACGGGAACGCUGGAGAGCCCAAGGACGGCGGAGAAGCCGUCGGCAGGCGACAUCGUGUCGAUGGUGAUGAGGAGAAGGCGUGCGAUGCCCAGGAGCGAGCAGCCCUCUGAAGCUGGGCGCGUGAAAUCCUCUGGCGGGAUUUUUGGAUACGUGCGAGAAUCCAGUGGUAAACAAGAGAAAGAGGGCCUGGCAUCACCUGGUGAGGGGGAGAAAACACCACAGACCAAGGAAGGUGUGGUGGCUGCUUUGGGGGGCGGUGAGGAAACUGGGCUUACUGCAGAUGCGCCGGUUUCUGCAGAGAAGGCAAUAGCGGGUGAUGCCGCUGUGGUUGAGGGAACUGGAGGUGCGACUGAAGCUUGUUCUGAUAAGCUGGGUUCUUGUGCAAUUUCAGAGAAGUCGGCGAGUGGUCCUCGGCAUGUGGAGGCUGUAGGAGGUGCGACAGAAUCUUCAUCUAAUAAGCUGGGGCGUGCAGGUGCAGUGGAAGCAGAGAAUGCAGCGGAAGCAGGGAAAGUGGAGAAGGUUGAAUCUGAUAAGAAGCCUCGUGUGGAGGGGGAGGGGGGAGAAGACAAGCUGGGAUCUGCAGAAAGAUGUGUGGUUAGUUGA
Molecule: ribosomal RNA, 3219 nt
Filed under: Triticum aestivum (bread wheat)
Lineage: Eukaryota; Viridiplantae; Streptophyta; Magnoliopsida; Poales; Poaceae
Description: partial small subunit ribosomal RNA
Source: RNAcentral